CAGGCAUGACUUGUAACAAAAUGGGCAUCAAUCGGCCAAGGGUUGCACCUCUCGGCCACUUGCAUCCAAUUGCCCAAACUGACUUGGUUUGGGUCAGAUAUAAGCCCAAACCAUUACCCAAGCCAUCUGGACUUAGCCCAUGGCCUUGUCCAAGGACCCAACAGCCCAUGGCCACAUGGCCGGACCAAACGCCCCACCACUGACCCAGACCCGGACCAUCGGCCCGAAACCCGAACAGUCUGUCCAGCUGAGAUGAGCUGGCUCCCAGCUGACCCAGCUGAGUGAGCUAGUAGUCCAGCUAGUGGAGCUGACUUAGUACUGGCCGAGCUGGAGUGAACUGAACCUAGCUUCGUUGAGCUGGUCGAGCUACUCGUUCACUUCGUCCAGCUACCGUCUUACUCCUAGCUGACUCCUUUCUCUCCCACUCUUGUUUGGUUAAGUUUUGCUAUACUUAACGCUUUUAUUCGGACCAUAGAACGCUUGUCUUUGAUCGGACUGAUCGACAAUACGUGUUCCUCGAACCAUGGUCCGUCCCGACAAUAUUACUCAGGAUUGGGGAUGUUACAACGACCUUGCAUUGAUAGCUCCAAAACAACUUUCUACACAAACAUCAAUAUUGGAUCUAAAAACCAGAUAACUUUGAAGGGGUUAUUAGGAUUUGUGAGGAUGAUGAUCGCGGAUGAACCUUUUUACCGCCUCAAAGAGAAAAAAAUGCAUUGAAUGAGGAAUUGUGCUUGGAGUGCGUCAAAGGAGUUUAUAACGGUUUACGGUUCCAAGGCGAAGAAACUCAUACGAAAAGACACGAAGGUGACGUGAAGGUGGCGUGAUCCAGAGAUUUGUCAUGUAGAUUCGUCCCUCACAACCCUCCCGAAACUCCAUUGUCAUUUAUGUAAUCAGAGCUUGAAGAACACGAUGAAAUCUAGAUCGACUUUCUUAAAGACAUGAAUGCGGGCUAUGAUAUUAUUAUUUUUAACAGCCCAAAUAAAAAAUAUCAAAACCCAAUAAUUUAAACCGUGAAGCCCACAUCGAUUGUAGACUUAAGUUAAUGAAAUGCUGUAUUUUGAUGGGGGACACAUGUCGUUUCCUCGUGCAACGACUUUCAUACGUGGAAUCACAUGUGGCGCAAAGAAGAGUGAAAGACCAUUUCUUUAUACUAAUAUAUAUAUUUCUUAUUUGCAAACCGUUCCUGAACCAAUUAGUUUAAUUUCAUUCAGUUUUGAUUAUUAUUAAUCAUAUUCAAUAUUUCCCUAACCUAAUCGUGUAAUAUAUAUAUUAUGACUUUCUUCUUCUUCACCAAAUUUCAGCCACCAUCUUUAUUAAAUUGUGCGAGAGAGCAGUAAACCAUCGCGCACCAUCUUCUUCUCCUCUUCUUAUCUCCUUGUUUCUCGCUUGUUCUUAUCGGAGUUGCAUGUGAUUAUGUGUGCUGCUGCGUUUGACACCACCAACCACCACGACCGGAGCCACCGUUUCAAUCUGACCAGCCGUGAUCCUCAACUGUGAGUCACCGGAGAGGGCUAUGCACUUUUGGGGCUGAGAUCCGCCACUAUGAUUCCAAGCCGUGAAGGUUAAAAGAGAUUAUAUUAAUUUCUUGUGUUGCAAGUUUCUUAAACCCUAGAUUAAUAAUAUUUUAAUCAUGUCUCAUUGUUUUGCCUCUAUUCUUUUCCGAUCUGGUGUGUCAUUGACGAGAUCAAGAUUCAUGGUGAAACCUUAGCUUUCUUGGUGAUCAAAUCAUUUCGUUUGUCUUCUAAUCCGUUUCUGGUUUCCGUUAUUGGCUAAGGUGAAGCAAUUUGCCACGUUUGUCAAAGGUCUACCUUAACGUCCGCCAGGAGAUGGAGCUGCGAAGAAGAAAAAAGAAAAAAGAAGAAGCUCAUAGACCACGAUAGUGGUGAUUGAAGGAGGAGGGGAGUUAGUGGUGGUGCUCCUCCGCAGAACAAUGGACCGCCAGAAACUGCGAUAUACUCUGCUCCACAAGAUCAUUAUCAUCCUCCUCAUCAGCAUAUGUAUCCAAUGGCUCCCAGUCCUCCAUGUCACCAUAUGGACGAACCUCAUCCUCUUGUUUGUGUUUGUUAUGAUGGGUUCGGUUGAUUCUUUGUUUGGAAAAAUGCAAGUAAAAUUCUCAAAGGAAAAAUAGUGAUGCUGCGUAAGAGGGUGAAUAACUCAUCCUCUUCCUCCAUUUCUUA
This is a long non-coding RNA of Brassica napus (rape), 2180 nucleotides long. RefSeq lists it as uncharacterized. The transcript has 2 exons. The record is from RefSeq and is a predicted model, not a curated record. NCBI's taxonomy places the organism in Eukaryota, Viridiplantae, Streptophyta, Magnoliopsida, Brassicales, Brassicaceae.